RNAcentral lists this ribosomal RNA (468 nucleotides) under uncultured bacterium. Its description in RNAcentral is "partial 16S ribosomal RNA". It matches the Rfam family "Bacterial small subunit ribosomal RNA", at positions 28 to 507 of the family's 1533-position model. The record is from RNAcentral.
GACGAACGCUGGCGGCGUGCUUAACACAUGCAAGUCGAACGGAAAGGCCCUGCUCUUGUGGGGUGCUCGAGUGGCGAACGGGUGAGUAACACGUGAGUAACCUGCCCUUGACUUUGGGAUAACUUCAGGAAAAUGGGGCUAAUACCGGAUAGGAGCUCCUGCUGCAUGGUGGGGGUUGGAAAGUUUCGGCGGUUGGGGAUGGACUCGCGGCUUAUCAGCUUGUUGGUGGGGUAGUGGCUUACCAAGGCUUUGACGGGUAGCCGGCCUGAGAGGGUGACCGGCCACAUUGGGACUGAGAUACGGCCCAGACUCCUACGGGAGGCAGCAGGGGGGAAUAUUGCACAAUGGGCGGAAGCCUGAUGCAGCAACGCCGCGUGCGGGAUGACGGCCUUCGGGUUGUAAACCGCUUUCGCCUGUGACGAAGCGUGAGUGACGGUAAUGGGUAAAGAAGCACCGGCUAACUACGUG